Molecule: ribosomal RNA, 468 nt
Filed under: uncultured bacterium
Lineage: Bacteria
Description: partial 16S ribosomal RNA
Rfam family: Bacterial small subunit ribosomal RNA
Source: RNAcentral
GACGAACGCUGGCGGCGCGCCUAACACAUGCAAGUCGAACGGAGCUGAGAGAAGCUUGCUUGUCUUAGCUUAGUGGCGAACGGGUGAGUAACGCGUGAGUAACCUGCCCUGGAGUGGGGGACAACAGUUGGAACCGACUGCUAAUACCGCAUAAGCCCACGAUCCGGCAUCGGAUUGAGGGAAAAGGGUUUCGUCGCUUCAGGAUGGACUCGCGUCAAAUUAGCUAGUUGGUGCGGUAACGGCCCACCAAGGGGACGAUUGGUAGCCGGAAUGAGAGGUUGAACGGCCACAUCGGGACUGAGACACGGCCCAGACUACUACGGGAGGGAGCAGUGGGGGAUAUUGCAAAAUGGGGGAAACCAUGAAGCAGCGACGACGCGUGGAGGAAGAAGGUUUUCGGAUUGUAAACUCAUGUCGUUAGGGACGAUAAUGACGGUACCUAACAAGAAAGCACCGGCUAACUACGUG